AUGAUAAAGUUAAUAAUGGGCUUG
RNAcentral lists this non-coding RNA (24 nucleotides) under Arabidopsis thaliana (thale cress). The record is from RNAcentral. Lineage: Eukaryota; Viridiplantae; Streptophyta; Magnoliopsida; Brassicales; Brassicaceae.